AACGAACGCUGGCGGCACGUUUUAAGCAUGCAAGUCGAACGGCAGUGGGGGCAACCCCAUGAGAGUGGCGAACGGGUGAGUAACACGUAGGUGAUCUGCCUUUGGGUUGGGGAUAGCUUGUGGAAACACAGGGUAAUACCGAAUGAGCUGACGAGGCUUUGGCCAUGUUAGUAACGGUGCUACGGCACCGCCUAGAGAGGAGCCUGCGGCUGGUUGGCGAGUUGGUGGGGAAAAGGUCUACCAAGGCGACGAUCAGUAGCCGGCCUGAGAGGGUGAACGGCCACACUGGAACUGAGACACGGUCCAGACUCCUACGGGAGGCAGCAGCUAAGAAUCAUCCGAAAGGGGCGAAAGCCUGACGGAGCGAUGCCGCGUGAUCGAUGAAGGUCGAGAGAUUGUAAAGAUCUUUUCCAACUGAGGAAUAAGUGGACCAGGGAAUGGGUUCAUGAUGACGUUAAGUUGGGAAUAAGCCCCGGCUAAUUACGUGCCAGCCGCCGCCGUAA
Molecule: ribosomal RNA, 503 nt
Filed under: uncultured bacterium
Lineage: Bacteria
Description: partial 16S ribosomal RNA
Rfam family: Bacterial small subunit ribosomal RNA
Source: RNAcentral